AACGAACGCUGGCGGCAUGCCUAACACAUGCAAGUCGAACGAGAGCUUCGGCUCUAGUGGCGCACGGGUGCGUAACGCGUGGGUAUCUGCCCUUGGGUUCGGAAUAACAGUUGGACACGACUGCUAAUACCGGAUGAUGACGUAAGCCCAAAGAUCUCUCGCCCUGGGAUGAGCCCGCGUCGGAUUGGAUAGUUGGUGGGGUAAAGGCCUACCAAGGCGACGAUCCGUAGCUGGUCUGAGAGGAAGGUCCGCCACACUGUGACUGAGACACGGCCCAGACUCCUACGGGAGGCAGCAGUGGGGAAUAUUGGACAAUGGGCGCAAGCCUGAUCCAGCAAUGCCGCGUGAGUGAUGAAGGCCUCAGGGUUGUAAAGCUCUUUUACCCGGGAAGAUAAUGACUGUACCGGGAGAAUAAGCCCCGGCUAACUCCGUGCCAGCAGCCGCCGUAA
RNAcentral lists this ribosomal RNA (449 nucleotides) under uncultured bacterium. RNAcentral's name for it is "partial 16S ribosomal RNA". It matches the Rfam family "Bacterial small subunit ribosomal RNA", at positions 29 to 523 of the family's 1533-position model. The record is from RNAcentral.